Molecule: non-coding RNA, 111 nt
Organism: Acanthosepion pharaonis
Lineage: Eukaryota; Metazoa; Mollusca; Cephalopoda; Sepiida; Sepiidae
Source: the annotation of a GenBank genome assembly
UUACGGUCUUAUCACGAGGAUUCACCGGUUUUCGUACGAACUUCGAAGUUAAGCAACAUCGAGCCUGGUAAUUACUUAGGAGGGUGAACGUUUGAGUAUACCAGGGUCUGU